Danio rerio (zebrafish) is the source of this 2554-nucleotide long non-coding RNA. The record is from Ensembl. Lineage: Eukaryota; Metazoa; Chordata; Actinopteri; Cypriniformes; Danionidae.
GCCCAUUUAAAACCCUUUAAGCAGGUGGGGUCCAAUUGGGUCUUUCAUGAAUUGCCCGGUUAAGACACUCAUAAGAUUCUCAUAGAUCCCACUUAAAACCCAUCUAGGCAUCCACGGCUGGCCACCAUGUAGAUCCCGGGUGGAAACCCACUUAAAACCCCUUUGGGCAGGUGGGGCCCAAAUGGGUUUGGCAUGAAUUGCCCAGUUAGGACUCAUGCAGUACCAUUACAGGUCCCACUUUUAGUACGUCUGGGCUUCCCCCGGCUGGCCCCAAUGUGGUUCCCAGGUGCAAGCCCAUAAUGGGGCCCACAUUUGACGCCCAUGAAGCCCUCAUUUGGGCCCCACAUGUCAUUGCUGGCUGGGACAGAGACAGAGAUCAAGGCUGUCGUCAUAGAGGCCAUGAAGGAGUUGUCCGAAUUUUGUCACAGAGGACGUUUCUGGGAGUUUGGAAAAAUUUGUGACAUAUUGGACUCUACUAAUCCUCUUGCCAAGAUGAUUGCGGAGAUGCAGUCAAGGGGGUUGAUGAUUAAUAACUUACCUUCAGUCCUCCCAGAAUCAGCUCUAUCGACUACAUCUUCUGUGCCUCAAAGCUCUGGAGAAGGUGCAGAAAGUCCAUUGGAGCCUCCAAAUGAGCCCUUAUCUGACAAGAGCUCUGGAGAGUACUACCAGAGGUACAGUUUCAAAUCGGCAUUCCCAGAAAUUAAAUGUACACUGUGGAAAUGAUUUCUCUUUAAUAUACAAAGUCAUUUUGCUCACCUGCUUUUCUAUUUCAGCACUGGUGGACUGAUGUUUACCUCUUCCGUGAGGGUGGAAGUGGUCAAAAAAGGCUUUUACAAUAAGCACUCCAUUGACCACUCCCUUCUAACAGGAUUUAAUAAGUACCUUUACAUUGAUCUAGGAUAUAAAAACAGCAAACAAGUAGUAAGUUCAUUAACCACUUAAACUCUGCGUGCCCGGUACCAGGGACAAAAUGACGUCAUCAGGAGAAUAACUAUAGAUUUAAGAGGUCUGCCUGCAUCUAUCAAUAACACCAUAUGACCUACUGGGUGAAAGCUUAGAAUGUCUAUUUUCAACUAUUACACGUCACUUUGAUAUUUGUUGUACUGUAAAGAAGUUAUUUACACUUAAUUUACAAUUAAUUUACACUAUCUCAAGCCCCCACUAUUUUGUACAUUGUUCAGUAUGCAUAUUUUUCACAUCGCUAAUAUUAAACACAGAUUGGCAAGUAAUACAUCAAAUUAAAGCUCUUAUUCCCAGUAAUAAUGAUCCAUUGCUAUUUUUUAUUAAUUUACAAUCACAUAUCCAACACUCUUUGAAUGAAUCAAAGUAUAAACUUGUUUUUUGUAAACAUACAAGAGAAAUUAUUGCUUAUUUGCUCCGUGAGCUGCCAGAUAUAGCACAGAUAGGUAAACAAGUUACAUCAUCUUUUACCUUAGGUUAUCCUCUGCAAAAUGAGUCCAUUUUCAGCAUUUCUGAGGAAGUGUGCAUCAGUAAACCCCUGCUGUGUCUUGUAAGUGCCAAACGCAACAAAUUAGGGUCAUGAUAUUCCAAAAUUUGGGAAAAUGAUAAAUUUAACCUAUCCAGAUGUACUAUAUAUCAUUGCAAAGAUGAGAUUCUCGGCUUUACACUGAUGUAGCCUUGAUCAGCCAUUCAGUGACUGAGAUAUUGCAUGACGAAUGGGAAGAGAGGUGUCCAAAACAAGAGUGCGUAAAAGCCACAGGUCAGACGCACAAUACCUUAGCAUGCAGACUCGUUCCAAAUGGCUUCUAAAAAAGGAAAGGAACCUCAAAAAAAGUUUUUUGUUGGGGCAGAGGAAGUUUUGGAGGAAUUAGAUCGAGAUGAUUCAGACUCUGAAAGUGACUCAAGUUUUGUUACGAUAAGGGAAGCUGCUUUUGUUGAUGGAAAGGAUUAUGACCUGGACAAGUAAGUACAUGUUUACCCAAUCCAAAUGUUUUAAUAUACAUAUUAAUAUAUUAUAUACAAUAUAUUUAUUUGUAUCAUAAUGUAUUGUUCAUGAUCACGCUUGCUAGAUGCCUUUUUUCCAUUAUCGCACACUGCGCCUCGUGCGCUGGCUUUUGUUGUUGUUUGUGUUCGUCACAACUGAAAUAGCGAGAAACGAGUAUCCAGAUGUUUACUAGCUUAUAUUAUAUAAGCUAACACAUGCAUAUAAACUAUGUUUGUUUGCGUUGCAGUCGUAGUUUAUCAUAUAGAGCAUAUAUAGAUAGAGACUGACUGACUGUUAAUUAGGCUAGCACAAAGGAAAAGAAAAGGUGGCUGGGUCAUGCCCUCGCCCUUGAGUUGAUGUGGGUUGAUGGCUGGCGAGUCAUCUGGGCUUCUUUGGAGUGCCUUUGGCUAGGACGUGUCUUGAAGGCAUCAGGUGAUCACCUUCCUAGAGUCUGGAUUUGUUGCUGUAAAAGCCCUUUGUGCAUCUGUGAUAGCUGCUCAUAUUCUGAAACAUAGUAUACAGGAAUGAGAGAAAGUAAUUCAACACCAUUAAUACCUUUUUUAAGACUCCACACAUUUAAAGACCUUUAAACCGCUUUUCAACCAGAAA